AUUGAACGCUGGCGGCAUGCUUUACACAUGCAAGUCGAACGGUAACAGGCCUUCGGGUGCUGACGAGUGGCGAACGGGUGAGUAAUGCAUCGGAACGUACCCAGAGGUGGGGGAUAACGCAGCGAAAGCUGUGCUAAUACCGCAUGUGAUCUGAGGAUGAAAGCGGGGGACCGAGCAGCAAUGUUUGGCCUCGCGCCUUUGGAGCGGCCGAUGUCGGAUUAGCUAGUUGGUGGGGUAAAGGCCUACCAAGGCGACGAUCCGUAGCUGGUCUGAGAGGACGGCCAGCCACACUGGGACUGAGACACGGCCCAGGCUCCUACGGGAGGCAGCAGUGGGGAAUUUUGGACAAUGGGCGCAAGCCUGAUCCAGCAAUGCCGCGUGCGGGAAGAAGGCCUUCGGGUUGUAAACCGCUUUUGGCAGGAACGAAACGGUGUCCGCUAAUACCGGGCGCUAAUGACGGUACCUGCAGAAUAAGCACCGGCUAACUACGUG
Molecule: ribosomal RNA, 492 nt
Filed under: uncultured bacterium
Lineage: Bacteria
Description: partial 16S ribosomal RNA
Rfam family: Bacterial small subunit ribosomal RNA
Source: RNAcentral